This 394-nucleotide ribosomal RNA is filed under the name Acanthamoeba genotype T4. RNAcentral describes it as "SSU rRNA". The stretch from base 1 to 339 matches the Rfam family "Eukaryotic small subunit ribosomal RNA", at positions 786 to 1114 of the family's 1831-position model. Lineage: Eukaryota; Discosea; Longamoebia; Acanthamoebidae. The record is from RNAcentral.
UUUCUGCCACCGAAUACAUUAGCAUGGGAUAAUGGAAUAGGACCCUGUCCUCCUAUUUUCAGUUGGUUUUGGCAGCGCGAGGACUAGGGUAAUGAUUAAUAGGGAUAGUUGGGGGCAUUAAUAUUUAAUUGUCAGAGGUGAAAUUCUUGGAUUUAUGAAAGAUUAACUUCUGCGAAAGCAUCUGCCAAGGAUGUUUUCAUUAAUCAAGAACGAAAGUUAGGGGAUCGAAGACGAUCAGAUACCGUCGUAGUCUUAACCAUAAACGAUGCCGACCAGCGAUUAGGAGACGUUGAAUACAAAACACCACCAUCGGCGCGGUCGCCCUUGGCGUUCGUGUUCACGCACGGGCGCGAGGGCGGCUUAGCCCGAUGGCACCGGUGAAUGACUCCCCUAG